CUUCUCAAGCAUGUUGCAGUGCAACUUGGUCUCUAAGCCAUGAAAACCUCACCUAACAGUUAUUGGUCCAAUUUCUUAGUUAAGUCAGACCCACCGUAUAACCGUAGGAAUAAAGUCGUCAUUGGAUCCUCACCUAACAGUUAUUGGUGCCCAACCCCACCUUUACCCUACAACAUCUCAUGUCUAUAGAGAGGUCUAGCCUCCCGAUGCAACUUGACCACUGUGUCCAGCCGAGACAAAUCAACAUCAGAAAGGCCUUAGCAGCUCUACUACAGUGGAAGACCUAUUGACUUAAUAUUGGUUAAUCAG
RNAcentral lists this long non-coding RNA (309 nucleotides) under Phoenix dactylifera (date palm). RNAcentral describes it as "long non-coding RNA (PDAC_LNC004101)". Lineage: Eukaryota; Viridiplantae; Streptophyta; Magnoliopsida; Arecales; Arecaceae. The record is from RNAcentral.